UGGGAACUGCGGUUUCGCGUUAGACAUAUAUUUCCCUUGAGCCACAAUGAUUCUCAUAGGGAGCUGUCCCUGACCAGGCCGUGGCCUGGUUAUAUGGCGCCCACCUGUACACACAGGUCUCAUGAGGAACUUUUCGUCGACGGUUAUCUGUGGGCCCAUU
This 160-nucleotide non-coding RNA is filed under the name bacterium. RNAcentral describes it as "6S RNA". It matches the Rfam family "6S / SsrS RNA". From Rfam's summary of the family: E. coli 6S RNA was the first non coding RNA to be sequenced, but its function was unknown until recently. The record is from RNAcentral.